This 253-nucleotide ribosomal RNA is filed under the name uncultured bacterium. RNAcentral's name for it is "partial 16S ribosomal RNA". It matches the Rfam family "Bacterial small subunit ribosomal RNA", at positions 524 to 776 of the family's 1533-position model. The record is from RNAcentral.
UACGUAGGGGGCAAGCGUUGUCCGGAUUUAUUGGGCGUAAAGAGCGUGUAGGCGGCUGGGUAGGUCCGUUGUGAAAACUCGAGGCUCAACCUCGAGACGCCGAUGGAAACCCCCCAGCUAGAGUCCGGAAGAGGAGAGUGGAAUUCCUGGUGUAGCGGUGAAAUGCGCAGAUAUCAGGAGGAACACCGGUGGCGAAGGCGGUUCUCUGGGCAUUACCUGACGCUGAGGAGCGAAAGUGUGGGGAGCGAACAGG